Molecule: ribosomal RNA, 130 nt
Filed under: Liocranchia reinhardtii
Lineage: Eukaryota; Metazoa; Mollusca; Cephalopoda; Oegopsida; Cranchiidae
Description: partial small subunit ribosomal RNA
Source: RNAcentral
UCCCUUGUGGCUUGNUGNGGGNGAUCAAGGUCGGCGCGCUCCGNNUUUGGUGACUCUGGAUAACUCACUGGUCGAUCGCACGGGCUUCACGCCCGGCGANGGGUCCCUCGAGGGUCCGCCCUAUCAACUG